This is a non-coding RNA of Mycobacterium riyadhense, 98 nucleotides long. The record is from Rfam. NCBI's taxonomy places the organism in Bacteria, Bacillati, Actinomycetota, Actinomycetes, Mycobacteriales, Mycobacteriaceae.
GUCGGGUUCGGGACGAACUGAUUGAUUCGCUCGCCGAUGACCGCCCAGGUGCGCUUGCCGUCGUGGAGCAUCUGCACACCGCGGCGCGUGAAUUCCUU